AACGAACGUUAGCGGCGCGCCUAACACAUGCAAGUCGAACGCGACAGGGGCAACUCUGUUGAGUGGCGCACGGGUGAGUAACACGUAGGUAAUCUCCCCCCGAGUGGUGGAUAACCUUCCGAAAGGAGGGCUAAUACAGCAUAAGACCACGGCUUCGAAAGGAGCUGAGGUCAAAGCGGAGGAUCGCAAGACUUCGCGCUUGGGGAUGAGGCUGCGGCCCAUCAGGUAGUUGGCGGGGUAACAGCCCACCAAGCCUAAGACGGGUAGCUGGUCGGAGAGGAUGAUCAGCCACCCUGGAACGGAGACAGGGUCCAGACUCCUACGGAAGGCAGCAGUGGGGAAUCUUGCGCAAUGGACGAAAGUCUGACGCAGCGACGCCGCGUGGGUGAUGAAGGCCUUCGGGUUGUAAAGCCCUGUGGAGAGGGACGAAUAAGUUUCAGCUAAUACCUGAAGCGAUGACGGUACCUCCUUAGCAAGCACCGGCUAACUCUGUGCCAGCCGCCGCCGUAA
RNAcentral lists this ribosomal RNA (510 nucleotides) under uncultured bacterium. RNAcentral's name for it is "partial 16S ribosomal RNA". It matches the Rfam family "Bacterial small subunit ribosomal RNA", at positions 29 to 523 of the family's 1533-position model. The record is from RNAcentral.